UACAGAGACUGCGAGCGUUAUUCGGAUUCACUGGGCGUAAAGGGUGCGCAGGCGGCCGUGUGUGUAAGGUGUGAAAUCCCGGGGCUCAACCCCGGAACUGCGCCUUAAACUACAUGGCUAGAGUUUUGGAGAGGGUAGUGGAAUUCACGGUGUAGCAGUGAAAUGCGUAGAUAUCGUGAGGAACACCAGAGGCGAAGGCGACUACCUGGACAAUUACUGACGCUCAGGCACGAAAGCGUGGGGAGCAAAA
This 250-nucleotide ribosomal RNA is filed under the name uncultured Opitutus sp. RNAcentral describes it as "partial 16S ribosomal RNA". It matches the Rfam family "Bacterial small subunit ribosomal RNA", at positions 524 to 773 of the family's 1533-position model. The record is from RNAcentral. Lineage: Bacteria; Pseudomonadati; Verrucomicrobiota; Opitutia; Opitutales; Opitutaceae.